RNAcentral lists this ribosomal RNA (506 nucleotides) under uncultured bacterium. RNAcentral describes it as "partial 16S ribosomal RNA". It matches the Rfam family "Bacterial small subunit ribosomal RNA", at positions 29 to 523 of the family's 1533-position model. The record is from RNAcentral.
AGUGAACGCUGGCGGUAGGCCUAACACAUGCAAGUCGAACGGCAGCACAGAGGAGCUUGCUCCUUGGGUGGCGAGUGGCGGACGGGUGAGGAAUACAUCGGAAUCUACUCUGUCGUGGGGGAUAACGUAGGGAAACUUACGCUAAUACCGCAUACGACCUACGGGUGAAAGAAGGGGACCUUCGGGCCUUGCGCGAUUGAAUGAGCCGAUGUCGGAUUAGCUAGUUGGCGGGGUAAAGGCCCACCAAGGCGACGAUCCGUAGCUGGUCUGAGAGGAUGAUCAGCCACGCUGGAACUGAGACACGGUCCAGACUCCUACGGGAGGCAGCAGUGGGGAAUAUUGGACAAUGGGCGCAAGCCUGAUCCAGCCAUACCGCGUGGGUGAAGAAGGCCUUCGGGUUGUAAAGCCCUUUUGUUGGGAAAGAAAUCCAGCUGGCUAAUACCCGGUUGGGAUGACGGUACCCAAAGAAUAAGCACCGGCUAACUUCGUGCCAGCCGCCGCAGUAA